AUUACAAAAAUAAAGUUUAUUUAAAUUCUAUAUAUACACAUACACACACACAGAGUACCAUACAUUUACUUAUUACAUACCAAUUCUGCUUCUCAACUACAAAAUUAUAUAUACAGUGUAAAUAGUGGUAAGAAUUCUUAAAGUCCCCUGUACUUCUUUCAUCCUAAGUCUCAUACUUGUUUUCCACAUACAAGUGGACUGGGACUUAAAAUCCACAUGGACAUUUACUACAGCAUUUGUUUCCUCCUAAAAAGAAACUCUAAAAAGCUAUUAUUAAACCAACAGUAUGUCUAACAAAUACUAUUAUCUUAGACCCAAUAAUAUACAA
This 328-nucleotide long non-coding RNA is filed under the name Bos taurus (domestic cattle). Its description in RNAcentral is "long non-coding RNA NONBTAT011375". Lineage: Eukaryota; Metazoa; Chordata; Mammalia; Artiodactyla; Bovidae. The record is from RNAcentral.